Molecule: long non-coding RNA, 258 nt
Filed under: Zostera marina
Lineage: Eukaryota; Viridiplantae; Streptophyta; Magnoliopsida; Alismatales; Zosteraceae
Description: long non-coding RNA (ZMAR_LNC004156)
Source: RNAcentral
UCCUUGAGGAGUAUGGCCGCGAAGUGCAGGCUCAACACGCUACCUGGGCCCUGUGCCUGCUGUCGCCUACUGGUGUCCCCAACAGUGUUGCCGUGGCCGAGACUCAGCGCCUUAACGCCGUGUUGAUCGACGUCCACCGCCGCCUCAACCGGAUUCGCUGUAACGACAUUGUCGCGGAGCUUCCCCUCGUCACCUAUCCUGACACGUCGGGUUCUGCUGGAACUUCGCGUGCUUCCCGCGCGCAAGGUACGACCGUCG